AAGUAGACACUAUGACACAAAAU
This 23-nucleotide non-coding RNA is filed under the name Cricetulus griseus (Chinese hamster). Lineage: Eukaryota; Metazoa; Chordata; Mammalia; Rodentia; Cricetidae. The record is from RNAcentral.